This 378-nucleotide ribosomal RNA is filed under the name uncultured eukaryote. Its description in RNAcentral is "partial 18S ribosomal RNA". It matches the Rfam family "Eukaryotic small subunit ribosomal RNA", at positions 592 to 976 of the family's 1831-position model. The record is from RNAcentral.
CAAUAGCGUAUAUUAAAGUUGUUGCAGUUAAAAAGCUCGUAGUUGGAUUUGUGGUUCGUCCCGCCGGCUGGGUCAUUGACUUUUGCUGUGCUGGUCGUCCAUCCUUGGGUGGAAUCUGUGUGGCAUUAGGUUGUCGCGCAGGGGAUGCCCAUCGUUUACUGUGAAAAAAUUAGAGUGUUCAAAGCAGGCUUAUGCCGUUGAAUAUAUUAGCAUGGAAUAAUAAUAUAGGACCUUGGUACUAUUUUGUUGGUUUGCGCACUGAGGUAAUGAUUAAUAGGGACAGUUGGGGGUAUUCGUAUUCCAUUGUAAGAGGUGAAAUUCUUGGAUUUUUGGAAGACGAACUACUGCGAAAGCAUUUACCAAGGAUGUUUUCAUUAA